This 758-nucleotide ribosomal RNA is filed under the name uncultured Prevotella sp. RNAcentral describes it as "bacterial SSU rRNA". It matches the Rfam family "Bacterial small subunit ribosomal RNA", at positions 28 to 776 of the family's 1533-position model. Lineage: Bacteria; Pseudomonadati; Bacteroidota; Bacteroidia; Bacteroidales; Prevotellaceae. The record is from RNAcentral.
GAUGAACGCUAGCUACAGGCUUAACACAUGCAAGUCGAGGGGCAGCAUGGAAGAAGCUUGCUUCUUCUGAUGGCGACCGGCGCACGGGUGCGUAACGCGUAUCAAACCUGCCUCAUACUCGGGGAUAGCCUUGCGAAAGUAAGAUUAAUACCCGAUGUUGUUAUGUUACCGCAUGGUGAUAUAACCAAAGAUUUAUCGGUAUGAGAUGGUGAUGCGUCCGAUUAGGUAGUAGGCGGGGUAACGGCCCACCUAGCCUUCGAUCGGUAGGGGUUCUGAGAGGAAGGUCCCCCACACUGGAACUGAGACACGGUCCAGACUCCUACGGGAGGCAGCAGUGAGGAAUAUUGGUCAAUGGACGCAAGUCUGAACCAGCCAAGUAGCGUGCAGGAUGACGGCCCUCUGGGUUGUAAACUGCUUUUAGUUGGGAAUAAAAAAGAGGACGUGUCCUCUACUGUAUGUACCUUCAGAAAAAGGACCGGCUAAUUCCGUGCCAGCAGCCGCGGUAAUACGGAAGGUCCAGGCGUUAUCCGGAUUUAUUGGGUUUAAAGGGAGCGUAGGCGGAUUAUUAAGUCAGUGGUGAAAGACGGUGGCUCAACCAUCGUUAGCCAUUGAAACUGGUAGUCUUGAGUGCAGACAGGGAUGCUGGAACUCGUGGUGUAGCGGUGAAAUGCUUAGAUAUCACGAUGAACUCCGAUCGCGAAGGCAAGUGUCCGGGCUGCAACUGACGCUGAGGCUCGAAAGUGUGGGUAUCAAACAGG